GGAUAGGUCAGUCGGUAGAGCAUGAGAAUCUUAAUCUCAGGGUUGUGGGUUCAAGCCCCACGUUGUGCA
Molecule: non-coding RNA, 69 nt
Organism: Podarcis lilfordi (Lilford's wall lizard)
Lineage: Eukaryota; Metazoa; Chordata; Lepidosauria; Squamata; Lacertidae
Source: the annotation of a GenBank genome assembly